Molecule: ribosomal RNA, 465 nt
Filed under: uncultured bacterium
Lineage: Bacteria
Description: partial 16S ribosomal RNA
Rfam family: Bacterial small subunit ribosomal RNA
Source: RNAcentral
GACGUACGCUGGCGGCGUGCUUAACACAUGCAAGUCGUACGGUAAGGCCCUUUCGGGGGUACACGAGUGGCGAACGGGUGAGUAACACGUGAGUAACCUGCCCACAACUUUGGGAUAACGCUAGGAAACUGGUGCUAAUACUGGAUAUGUGCUCCUGCUGCAUGGUGGGGGUUGGAAAGCUCCGGCGGUUGUGGAUGGACUCGCGGCCUAUCAGCUUGUUGGUGGGGUAGUGGCCUACCAAGGCGGCGACGGGUAGCCGGCCUGAGAGGGUGACCGGCCACAUUGGGACUGAGAUACGGCCCAGACUCCUACGGGAGGCAGCAGUGGGGAAUAUUGCACAAUGGGCGCAAGCCUGAUGCAGCAACGCCGCGUGCGGGAUGACGGCCUUCGGGUUGUAAACCGCUUUCAGCAGGGACGAAGCUUUUUGUGACGGUACCUGCAGAAGAAGCACCGGCUAACUACGUG